Long non-coding RNA from Megachile rotundata (alfalfa leafcutting bee), 1776 nucleotides. RefSeq lists it as uncharacterized. Lineage: Eukaryota; Metazoa; Arthropoda; Insecta; Hymenoptera; Megachilidae. The record is from RefSeq and is a predicted model, not a curated record.
UAUUAAUGAGUUUAUGAUUGAAACAAUGUAACAUUUCGAUUUGUUAGAUUGUUUCGCGUUAGUAACUUAAGUUAGCAACAUUUAAAUAUAUUAUGUUGGCUUAUAACCUUUCGAAUGGUCAUUCCAAGUCAACUAAAGAUUUCUUGGAACGGCAUCAGUGAAGAAUAGUCACUCUAGAGUAAUUAUUUCUAUACGACCGGACUUCACAGGUAAAGGUCGCUCGUGGGUCCGAAGGUUACCUCCUACCUACUUGAUCACCGCAUCGACACAGAUUUAUCUUGUAAUACUACCCAUCACGUUAAAUUGUAUUACUAAUUGCGCAUUGUUCUUUUUUCAGAUAUUUAUGCUUUGCUAAUUAAUAGAAGUAUAACUUUUUACUACAAUUUACAGUGACGUCAACGCUUUGUUUCUGAGGACAAGAAACAAUGCCACCUCGUACUUUUUAAUAUUUCCUCGGACUAUUUAUACACCGCAUUCGUGAUAUGCAUAAUAUUUUUGUAAUAAACAAAUCUGGAAUACUUAUUUUCAUAAAUAAAUACAAAACGUCAAGCGAACAAUUAACACAAGGAAGCAAAAUAAAAAUUAUUAACGUUACAAGAAUGUAUGAUAACAUGAAGAUAUCAUAUGAUUACUAUGUUAAUGUUUAGCGAACAUGGUGUAUCACUUAUUAAUAUUUCAUGUUAAUAAUAAGAAACAUUUCGUAUAAUGUAUUGCGCAAAGUAGUACAUACACAGAUUGUUACGAUAUGGGCAAGUUAUCGUACAGGAUUUCAUACAUCGUUAUCGACAAAACGGUCACAAAAAGUAACGAAUUCAAAGAAUUUGUGUGUCGCGCCAGGUUCUCGGCAAACUUAAGAACCUGUUCGAAGGAAGUUCCGCCAUGAUGGUAAAGGAAGUUGCCAUAUUACCGUAGUUUAUAUUUAAAUUUUUAUUUUAGAGCAGAGGAAAUAGUCUUUUUUAAGCUAAGAAAUCAUUGAAAAUCUCCACUUUCAAACUUCAGUCUCAUUUCAUAAAAGUUUAGGAAGCCCUGAUUUAGAAGUUAUGAAGUUCUGAAUAUCAAAGGCUUAAUUACCAAACUCAUAAUUUUUUAGGGUAAAUAAGUUAUAGGAAAAAUUGUAAUCUAUUGCAAAAAGUUAUUUAUUGCAAAUUGUUUUUUACAUGAUACAUGUUAUACAUUAAUUUAUUAUACAAGUAUCAGUAAAGCAUAUCAUUAAUAUUGCCAAUAUUCAUAGUAUCAUAACUACUAUUAUAUUAUUGAUACAAUUUCAUCAGCAUCGAAAUAUCUAUUUACGAAUUAAUAAUCUUAUUUGUAUUAUUGUAUCGCUGUUAAAUCUUUUACAGACAUUUAAAAAUAUUUGCAGAAAGUCCCGUUUUAGUUGCUGUUCGUUUAAAGAUUUGAUGUAAACUAAGUGAAAUAUUGCUUGAAAAAAUAUAUUAUAUUCCACACAGCUAUAUUUUUAGAAUGUUUUUAAGACUCGUAAUAUCAAUUGUUAUCAGUUAUUUACAGUAGUAAAUAACAUUUAUUCGUACAAGAAAUUGAAACUGAUAAUCUUUCUGCUUCCAAAGAGUCAAGUCUUACAGAAUUAUCUCAUUGAUACAAUAAUUAUGUUCGUUCUUAGUUAUAAUGCCAGGUACUUUUGUUUCUUACUUAAUUUACUUCUACGAAGAUCAAAGAUAAGUGCGCUUACAUUUUCGAAUUUAAGACACAAUUCAGAAUAUCAAUUGUCAUAGUGUAAGUAUCAAAUAGCAAAAGAUACUAACUGUAAUAUUAAGUGCA